AAACGGUAGAAUCAGACACUAUUGUGAGGCCGAGAAAGCCUGAAAAAGUGAGCCUUUUAUUCAUAAGGUGUAGGGUCUUUUUCCCAAAACACGCAUAAUUGUUUUGGUAGACAAAUCCACAGACCCACCAAACAUCCAACAAGGGUUUCAUCCUCUGUUCUCUGGGCGUCUUUCCUCCGUUUCUUGGGCCCUUUUUCUUUUCUGGGCCUUUGCCUAUUCUCGAUGGAGGUUCCGGAAAUGGGAGGCAAGACUGAAACCCAUUUGACAUCAGCAGCAGCCUUUGUGGAAGGGGGGAUUCAAGAAGCAUGUGAUGAUUCUUGUAGCAUAUGCCUUGAGAAUUUUAGCAAAAGUGAUCCUGCAACUGUCACUAAUUGCAAGCAUGACUUCCAUCUGCAGUGCAUUCUUGAAUGGUGUCAGAGAAGUUCUCAAUGCCCUAUGUGUUGGCAAGCUAUCAGCUUGAAGGAUGCUACCAGUCAAGAACUGCUCGAGGCAGUAGAGCAGGAGAGGAGCUUGAGGGAUAUCCCAUCCAGAAAUGCUUCAAUUUUUCAUCUUUCGCAGCUUGAAUUUCAGCAGUUACCAAUGCGUGAGUCUGAUAUUGAAGAGCGAAUCCUUCGACAUUUAGCUGCUGCAGCAUCAAUGAGGAGAGCACACCAUCUUGGUCGGAGGGAAAGUCAACGAACUAGGUCAUCUGGUCAUGGCAAUGCACACUCCUUAGUGUACUCAACUCAUCCUAGAGCACCUCCAUCAGCUACUGGAGCGGGAAAUGAACCAGCUGCAAUUCCUGCAGGAAAUCCAUCUUCUCCUCUUAUAUUUGAUGGAACACAACAAUCAUCACCACAGCAGAUGCCCCUAUUACAAACUCGGAGUUCUUCUUUUACUUCUGGCUCUACAGUCGCAACAACAAAUCUUCAAGGAGUUCACUCUAAUGAUGGAAGCUUUGCCUCUCAUUCCUUGCCUGCAAGCCAUGAUGAACCAGAGCCAUCAGAACAAUCAUUCUCAGAUUCUCUCCUUUCCAAAUUUAAUGCAGUAUCCAUGAGAUACAAAGAAUCAAUUUCAAAGGGCACAAGGGGAUGGAAGGAGAGGCUGUUCUCUCCUAAUUCUUCUGUGUCAGAACUUGGUUCUGAAGUUAGGAGAGAAUUGAAUGCCAAAAUUGCUAGUGUGUCCCGAUUGAUUGAGCGCCUCGAAACAGCAAGAGAAAAUAAGAGCGCUGCAGGCACUUCUGUAUCAAAUCAUUCCAUCGCAGAGACCAGCAACAACCAAAACAAUGCGGAAGUUCACGGAGAGAACUCUUUUCCUGGCAGUAAUACUUCUGCUACUUUUUCUGUUUCCCCAGAUUCAAAGUGAGCUCUAGUUUACUUCUGUGCAUGCAUCUUUGCUCAGCAUAUCAUGUUUGAAGGCAAAGCACUUGCUCAGAUAUGACAUGGUGAGGAAUAUAUGGUGAUGGAAGUUAUUGGCUGAGUAAGAAAAUAGGAUCUGAAGCAAAAGUUUAUGCUUUUAUGUAAAUAUAUUAUAUGCGGGGAACUGUAGGAAGUAAGUGUUUAAGGUAUAAACCAAGGGAGAAAGUGUUAUGAGAUUUCUCCAAUCUUAGGUAUAUUAUCAUAUAUGUUCAUAAUAUGUCCUUCAAAUUACUUUUUGGAGUCAAGGGAAAAAUAGAUAUCAAGAUGGCAACCUGAAUUCUUGGUGUUUCUGCUACUUUAAGCUAAAAGCUUUGUUUUGAAA
Vigna umbellata (rice bean) is the source of this 1719-nucleotide non-coding RNA. NCBI's taxonomy places the organism in Eukaryota, Viridiplantae, Streptophyta, Magnoliopsida, Fabales, Fabaceae. The record is from RefSeq and is a predicted model, not a curated record.